This 713-nucleotide long non-coding RNA is filed under the name Homo sapiens (human). RNAcentral's name for it is "non-protein coding lnc-ENTPD7-1:2". Lineage: Eukaryota; Metazoa; Chordata; Mammalia; Primates; Hominidae. The record is from RNAcentral.
AGAGCUGCGGUCCCUGUGCGCGGGAUCGCGUCGGGGGCGGGGCGGCGACAGGCCUUCAACGUCAAACUGCUGACGGGCGCCGUUACGACCCGCGCUCCCGUGCGCUCCUCAAAUUCUGAGACGCGUGGCUGGAGAGCGGGCGGCCCUGGCCCCGGAGAGCCGUGUUCCCGCGGGAUCUCGUCGCGGGCGUGAGGCGGGGCCGGCCUGGGCCGGUCAUCCCUGGCUGGCGCGACCCGCAGCCUGUCCGGGAAGCCGUUGCGACAUGCGGGCUGGGAACCGCCUCACCUCCAGGGGGGACCGCGGCGGCCCGCUAGACUCUGGUCGGGUCUGGAGUAUUGGGCCCUCUGGCCGGACUCGGUGCUCCUCAGGCCCCAGCGCCCGGCACUGAGCCUCGCAUCCACAUUCGCAGAGUAAACCCAACAAGUGUUGAAUGAAUGAGGUUCCCCGGGCCCCGGCUGUCACUGGGCUCUGCGCCAGGCCAAGAGCCGAAGGCGGGGGAGGAAGAUGUCGAAAUGGGCGGGAUGAUUCACAGAUGACGGCCGGUGGCGAGGCGGGGCUGGAGGCCGCAUCCCAAAGGCAGCAGGGAAGUGCGGCGGCUGUGGGGAAGCUCGGACGCACGGCCUGGCCGAGUCUGAAGCAUCAGUAUUUUGUCCCUGAGCCGGCGCGCUGAUGGGUCCCCCGCCUGGCGAUGAGGGCUUCUCCCUCCCUCGGGU